ACACUCAGUUUUGUUCCUGCCUGCUUUACCGGCCAACCCUCUCCCAUGCCAGUUGGCAUUUCAUCCCAUGCAUUCAACUCUGGAUCGUAUAUCUCUCCUCCAACAUCAACAAAAAAAAGGCCAGCAAUAUAAGCUCUGAGCCACAAAUAACCUUCCUCUAUAUGAUGCCAUCCCAGUUGCAAUUGGCUUGAGCAAAUCAGCCAGAAAAGCAGUAGGGAGCACCUGAGCCUUGGAAAAAGGCAUGCUUGGAAUUUCAGACCACAUACCAGUAUAAGGAUCAAACACUUCAGCAGAUUGGAGAGAGGUCAGUCCACCACGGCCUUUAGCAACUCCUCCAACAACAUAAAGCUUGUUGUUUAAGAUUCCUGUCUUAGAAAAGGCUCUACCAAUGGACAUUGGACUCAUCUCACUCCAAGCAUUCAGUAUUGGAUUAUACCGCCACACACAUCUCAUGGCUGAAGCUUUAGA
Molecule: unclassified non-coding RNA, 468 nt
Filed under: Hevea brasiliensis (rubber tree)
Lineage: Eukaryota; Viridiplantae; Streptophyta; Magnoliopsida; Malpighiales; Euphorbiaceae
Source: RNAcentral